RNAcentral lists this long non-coding RNA (1114 nucleotides) under Homo sapiens (human). RNAcentral describes it as "HSALNT0330981". Lineage: Eukaryota; Metazoa; Chordata; Mammalia; Primates; Hominidae. The record is from RNAcentral.
AACAUUUCCAUUUCUGAGCACCAACCAGGAGUCAGGAAGGGGUGGGAAGGGGACCCAGGGCAGGUCAGGUCAGCAGGUCAGUGAAAUCAGGUCUUUAAACACCCGUUUAACACUCUUUUGCAGCUGGAAAGCCCGACUUUUGGCUUCACUGUAUUUAUUUUCAUGGUUACCUGUUAUUUACAGUGAAUGUGCCUGGUCUUCUUUUUAUGGUAGUGAUAGGGAAUUUCAUUUCAAUACAUAUAUUUGAAUAAUAAAUCUUAGUCUAUUUAAAGAAGAAAAAGUCAUCAGUGAAUAACACAGGGGAGCUGAAAACUGGCCUGCAAUGCAGGAAUGGUGGAGAUCCAGGAAGCCUUACCUCCUGAGGUCUUCACGGCAGCUCUGAAGCAAGGACUGUCAUCCCCAUUUUACAGCUGGAAAAGCUGAGUCCCCAAGAAAGUAACUUGCCCUCUGCCCCAAGCCAAGUCUGGAAGCUAAGAACCUUCCCCCCUCACCCUCCCACCUUCACCAGUGAAUGAGCUUCCAGACACUCCUCGGCAGUUCAGAAAUCUCCUGAUAUCAGGGGUUCUAAUCCAGGCCCUGGUGCCACCAUUGACAAACUGUGGCUUUGUACAGUUGUCUAACUCUUUGUCCUUGGUUAGUGAUAUGGUUUGGCUGUGUCUCCAUCCAAAUCUCAUUUUGAACUGUAGCUCCCAUAAUUCCUAUGUGUCAUGGGAGAGACCUGAUGAGGGGUAAUUGAAUCACGAGGGUGGGUCUUUCCUGUGUUGUUCUAGUGAUACUGAAUAAGUCUCAUAAGAUCAGAUGGUUUUAUAAAGGGGAGUUCCCCUGCACAUGCUCUCUUGCCUGCCACCAUGUAAGAUGUGACUGCUCCUCAUUCGCCCUCCACCAUGAUUGUGAGGCCUCCCCAGCCAUGUGGAGCAUGGUGAAAUUAGACCCAUUACAUCUUCUGGAGAAACUGGAAGGGGCUUGCAGUAGGUUGAAUGGUGGCCGCCCCAGAAGAUAUGUCCUUGGAACCUGCUAAUGAAACCUUACUUGAAAAAGGCAUCUUUGGGCCGGGCACAGUGGCUCACACCUGUAAUCCCAGCACUUUGCGAGGCCAAGGCCAGUGGAUCACCUG